UUAUUUUGUUUUGCUUGUGAGUAAGUAACAAAUUGUAAUACUCAAGGUUAGGUAGGAAAUUCUUCAUUGACAAAGAAAAAAUUCUCAACAAUGUUAAAAAAAUUUAAUGUUAAAAUUUUUUUGAUUACAUAUUUCGACAAUGUUUCACUUCUGACCAUAUAAUUCCAAAAUGUUUCAUUUUUUAACACAUGUUUCGAAAGUAUAUCAUAAAAAACAUAAGGCGCAUGCGGGGCCACGACGAGCGGGGGAGGUGGUACUGUCACACGCCGGACUAUGGAUAUACCUCUCUCUCGAUCCCGAUCUUAGUUAGGUUACGGAAUAGGCUCCUUAUCGUGCAGGCCGAGAAGAUAAAGAAGAAUAAAAGGGAAGUUGUUAUUUCUGUAUUUCAAUUAUAUGACUGUUUUGAUUUGUUCCUAAUUGUAUUUUGUCUCUUUGAGCACUUUUUGUUUAAGCUCAUGCAAAAUGAAGAAGGUGAUGGAUUUCGUUUGUGUGUGGACUCCCAUAAAAGAAAGAAGAACAUGCUGCAAUAAAUAAAAGGAGUUGUAACGUCAAAAACUGAUAUGAAAGCAACUAAAGCUGUGAUGCAAAUCAAUAGUGGAGCUAAAUGACAAUGAGGGGUAAAUUACUCUGACAAAAGCGUACAAAGAUUUCUUAGUUUGUUGUAAUAUUAUGGAAAAUUUCCAGAGAAUUUAUUUCAGUGA
Xenia sp. Carnegie-2017 is the source of this 701-nucleotide long non-coding RNA. RefSeq lists it as uncharacterized. The record is from RefSeq and is a predicted model, not a curated record. The transcript has 2 exons. Lineage: Eukaryota; Metazoa; Cnidaria; Anthozoa; Malacalcyonacea; Xeniidae.